AGUAAAAUGCCUGAUUAAAGGGUUAUCGUGAUAGGAUAAAUAAUGUAAUUCUUAUUACUUUUACUA
Molecule: transfer RNA, 66 nt
Filed under: Sceptuchus simplex
Lineage: Eukaryota; Metazoa; Arthropoda; Insecta; Mantodea; Nanomantidae
Description: tRNA-Ile
Source: RNAcentral